GGAUCAAGGUUAAGCUACUUUAUC
This 24-nucleotide non-coding RNA is filed under the name Arabidopsis thaliana (thale cress). The record is from RNAcentral. Lineage: Eukaryota; Viridiplantae; Streptophyta; Magnoliopsida; Brassicales; Brassicaceae.